GACGAACGCUGGCGGCGUGCUUAACACAUGCAAGUCUAACGGAAAGGCCUCUUUCGGGGGGUACUCGAGUGGCGAACGGGUGAGUAACACGUGAGUAACCUGCCCUUGACUUUGGGAUAACUUCAGGAAACUGGGGCUAAUACCGGAUAGGAGCUCCUGCUGCAUGGUGGGGGUUGGAAAGUUUCGGCGGUUGGGGAUGGACUCGCGGCUUAUCAGCUUGUUGGUGGGGUAGUGGCUUACCAAGGCUUUGACGGGUAGCCGGCCUGAGAGGGUGACCGGCCACAUUGGGACUGAGAUACGGCCCAGACUCCUACGGGAGGCAGCAGUGGGGAAUAUUGCACAAUGGGUGGAAGCCUGAUGCAGCAACGCCGUGUGCGGGAUGACGGCCUUCGGGUUGUAAACCGCUUUCGCUCAUGACGAAGCUUUGUGUGACGGUAGUGGGUAAAGAAGCACCGGCUAACUACGUG
Molecule: ribosomal RNA, 467 nt
Filed under: uncultured bacterium
Lineage: Bacteria
Description: partial 16S ribosomal RNA
Rfam family: Bacterial small subunit ribosomal RNA
Source: RNAcentral